CUACGUGCCAGCAGCCGCGGUAAUACGUAGGUCCCGAGCGUUGUCCGGAUUUAUUGGGCGUAAAGUGAGCGCAGGCGGUUAGAUAAGUCUGAAGUUAAAGGCUGUGGCUUAACCAUAGUACGCUUUGGAAACUGUUUAACUUGAGUGCAGAAGGGGAGAGUGGAAUUCCAUGUGUAGCGGUGAAAUGCGUAGAUAUAUGGAGGAAUACCGAUGGCGAAGGCGGCUCUCUGGCUUGUAACUGACGCUGAAGCUCGAAGGUGCGGGUAUCGAACAGGAUUAGAUACCCUGGUAGUCCGCACAGUAAACGAUGGAUGCCCGCUGUUGGUACCUGGUAUCAGCGGCUAAGCGAAAGCAUUAAGCAUCCCACCUGGGGAGUACGCCGGCAACGGUGAAACUCAAAGGAAUUGACGGGGGCCCGCACAAGCGGAGGAACAUGUGGUUUAAUUCGAUGAUACGCGAGGAACCUUACCCGGGCUUGAA
This 480-nucleotide ribosomal RNA is filed under the name uncultured bacterium. RNAcentral's name for it is "bacterial SSU rRNA". It matches the Rfam family "Bacterial small subunit ribosomal RNA", at positions 501 to 985 of the family's 1533-position model. The record is from RNAcentral.